RNAcentral lists this ribosomal RNA (497 nucleotides) under uncultured bacterium. RNAcentral's name for it is "partial 16S ribosomal RNA". It matches the Rfam family "Bacterial small subunit ribosomal RNA", at positions 28 to 507 of the family's 1533-position model. The record is from RNAcentral.
GAUGAACGCUGGCGGCGUGCCUAAUACAUGCAAGUCGAGCGAACGGACGAGAAGCUUGCUUUUCUGAUGUUAGCGGCGGACGGGUGAGUAACACGUGGAUAACCUACCUAUAAGACUGGGAUAACUUCGGGAAACCGGAGCUAAUACCGGAUAAUAUUUUGAACCGCAUGGUUAAAAAGUGAAAGACGCUCUUGCUGUCACUUAUAGAUGGAUCCGCGCUGCAUUAGCUAGUUGGUAAGGUAACGGCUUACCAAGGCAACGAUGCAUAGCCGACCCGAGAGGGGGACCGACCCCACUGGAAGGGAGACACGGUCCGGACUCCUGCGGGGGGCAACGGUAGGGAAUCUUCCGCAAUGGGCGAAGGCCUUACGGAGCAACGCCGCAUAAGGGAGGAGGGUCUUCGGAUCGUAAAACUCUGUUAUUAGGGAAGAACAUAUGUGUAAGUAACUGUGCACAUCUUGACGGUACCUAAUCAGAAAGCCACGGCUAACUACGUG